UGGGGAAUAUUGGACAAUGGGCGCAAGCCUGAUCCAGCAAUGCCGCGUGUGUGAAGAAGGCCUUCGGGUUGUAAAGCACUUUUAUCAGGAGCGAAACGCUGUCGGCUAAUACCCGGCGGAACUGACGGUACCUGAGGAAUAAGCACCGGCUAACUUCGUGCCAGCAGCCGCGGUAAUACGAAGGGUGCAAGCGUUAAUCGGAAUUACUGGGCGUAAAGCGUGCGUAGGCGGUUUCUUAAGUCUGCUGUGAAAUCCCCGGGCUCAACCUGGGAAUGGCAGUGGAUACUGGGAGGCUAGAGUGUGUCAGAGGGUGGUGGAAUUCCCGGUGUAGCGGUGAAAUGCGUAGAGAUCGGGAGGAACAUCAGUGGCGAAGGCGGCCACCUGGGACAACACUGACGCUGAGGCACGAAAGCGUGGGGAGCAAACAGGAUUAGAUACCCUGGUAGUCCACGCCCUAAAGCGAUGCGAACUGGAUGUUGGUCUCAACUCGGAGAUCAGUGUCGAAGCUAACGCGUUAAGUUCGCCGCCUGGGGAGUACGGUCGCAAGAUUAAAACUCAAAGGAAUUGACGGGGUCAUAGCUGUUUCC
This 587-nucleotide ribosomal RNA is filed under the name uncultured bacterium. RNAcentral describes it as "partial 16S ribosomal RNA". It matches the Rfam family "Bacterial small subunit ribosomal RNA", at positions 355 to 937 of the family's 1533-position model. The record is from RNAcentral.